Molecule: ribosomal RNA, 450 nt
Filed under: uncultured bacterium
Lineage: Bacteria
Description: partial 16S ribosomal RNA
Rfam family: Bacterial small subunit ribosomal RNA
Source: RNAcentral
GUGGGGAAUAUUGGACAAUGGGGGGAACCCUGAUCCAGCCAUGCCGCGUGUGUGAAGAAGGCCUUUUGGUUGUAAAGCACUUUAAGCGAGGAGGAGGCUACCGAGAUUAAUACUCUUGGAUAGUGGACGUUACUCGCAGAAUAAGCACCGGCUAACUCUGUGCCAGCAGCCGCGGUAAUACAGAGGGUGCAAGCGUUAAUCGGAUUUACUGGGCGUAAAGCGCGCGUAGGUGGCCAAUUAAGUCAAAUGUGAAAUCCCCGAGCUUAACUUGGGAAUUGCAUUCGAUACUGGUUGGCUAGAGUAUGGGAGAGGAUGGUAGAAUUCCAGGUGUAGCGGUGAAAUGCGUAGAGAUCUGGAGGAAUACCGAUGGCGAAGGCAGCCAUCUGGCCUAAUACUGACACUGAGGUGCGAAAGCAUGGGGAGCAAACAGGAUUAGAAACCCGGGUAGUC